UGGGGAAUUGUUCGCAAUGGGCGCAAGCCUGACGACGCAACGCCGCGUGGAGGAUGAAGGUCUUCGGAUUGUAAACUCCUGUUGCCCGGGACGAAUAGCUCCGACCUAACACGUCGGAGUCUGACGGUACCGGGUGAGGAAGCCCCGGCUAACUCUGUGCCAGCAGCCGCGGUAAUACAGAGGGGGCAAGCGUUGUUCGGAAUUACUGGGCGUAAAGGGCGCGUAGGCGGCCUUCUAAGUCGAACGUGAAAUCCCCGGGCUCAACCCGGGAACUGCGUCCGAGACUGGAAGGCUUGAAUCCGGGAGAGGGAUGUGGAAUUCCAGGUGUAGCGGUGAAAUGCGUAGAUAUCUGGAGGAACAUCGGUGGCGAAGGCGGCAUCCUGGACCGGUAUUGACGCUGAGGCGCGAAAGCCAGGGGAGCAAACGGGAUUAGAUACCCCGGUAGUCCUGGCCCUAAACGAUGAAUGCUUGGUGUGGCGGGUAUCGAUCCCUGCCGUGCCGAAGCUAACGCAUUAAG
This 517-nucleotide ribosomal RNA is filed under the name uncultured Acidobacteriota bacterium. RNAcentral's name for it is "bacterial SSU rRNA". It matches the Rfam family "Bacterial small subunit ribosomal RNA", at positions 355 to 864 of the family's 1533-position model. The record is from RNAcentral. Lineage: Bacteria; Pseudomonadati; Acidobacteriota.